Wasmannia auropunctata (little fire ant) is the source of this 4725-nucleotide RNA transcript. It is a transcript of the gene named pyroglutamylated RFamide peptide receptor-like, with no coding region annotated. The transcript is spliced from 11 exons. Lineage: Eukaryota; Metazoa; Arthropoda; Insecta; Hymenoptera; Formicidae. The record is from RefSeq and is a predicted model, not a curated record.
CAAUCGGCGCGUAGAUGAGUCGUGUCACCCCGCCCGUGGCCGGGCCAAUUUUCUCGCGCGACACGCGGAAGUCUCUCGUUUUGCCAUCCGCUCGGAUCAUCGUCGCGCUCCUCCUCUCGCGCGUCCCUUCUCGACGGUGGUGCGGCGAGAACCGGAACGUGCCGUCGCACUCCGGAAGUUUCGCGAAUCGUGUCGAAAGUCGCCGGAGAAGUCGCGACGCCGCCGCUCAUCUCCGCGCGAGUGAAAACGGAGCGGCGGAGUGACGGUGUGACCGACGACGGAGUGACUUCGGACCGGAAGCGCAAAGACGACGACGACGACGACGAAUCGCGCUAGGAUGAGAACGAGGAAACUCAAGCGAAACAAUUCGUGUGGGUAUCUGGACAGUAGCGGAGAGCUCGGUGAAAACUCUGUCGUGCGUAAAACUUAGGGUUGCCAUAUGUCCUACUUCUCGUUGAGCAGUCCUGCAUACUCCGUGCAUAUCUAUCACGCGACCACGUUUAAAUAUCCUUUGAAGAUAAAAAGUCUAAUUUUAUAUGGAAUGUGCGGUGAGCGACGACAAACACAUAUUUAAAAAUACAUCCUUUUACUCUGCUUCUUCCUUCCGAUUACAUAUGUUUCUAAUGCCUUUUAAUAUGAUGGCAAUCCUAAGUAAAACGUAAAGCCGCGCCGCGAUAACGUUCGUGUUCGCGAGUACGUAACGAUACAUAAUUUUCGGAAAUGGUCCUCGAUAAUCUCACCGUGAUGUCAAUCGUCGACGAGUUAGUAGACGACGUCCCGUCGAACGGCACCAACAUGACUGAUUUUCCCGAUUACGACAUCAACGAUUCCUUCAGUCAUUUCGAAUGGGGGGAACUAGCGCCUGUCCUGGUAGUCUACACCUUGACUUUCUUCCUCGGAUUAAUCGGAAACGUCGUUAUCAUCGCUUCAACCCUUUGCCGGCUCAGGCCGUUACCGGCGACACCGACGAAUGUUUUUCUGGGCGGUCUGGCCACGGCUGAUCUUCUGUUAAUCAUAUUCUGCAUACCGGUGAAGAUAGCGAAGCUGUUCUCCUACACGUGGACCAUGGGUAUCUUCCUGUGCAAAGCGGUGCAUUACAUGCAGAGCGUGUCGGCUAUCUGCUCGGUCGUCACCCUCACUGCGAUGUCGAUCGAAAGGUAUUACGCGAUAGUACAUCCAAUGAGAGCGCAGUACAUGUGCACCAUAAGCCAAGCUCGUAGGAUUGUGAUCAUAACUUGGAUCGCCGCAUUUCUGCUGGGAAUACCAAUGAUGUUUACACAGACACACAAGAAGGUCGGGCUGAGGUGGAUCGCCUACUGGUGCGUUCGCGAUUCCGAGGCCGGACUCCUGUGGCGGGCUCACGAAGUCUACAUGCUCGUCGUAGUUCUCGUACUUCCGCUGAUCAUCAUGGCGUUCUGCUAUACGAGCAUCUGCUGGGAAAUCUGGCGCGUUAUGAAGCGCCGGUAUCACAUGACGUCGCGACACGCAUUAAAUCCAAACAGCGCUGUAGAUACGGAAUCUAUUCCCAUGACGCAGCGACAGGGCGGAAAUGAACGCAAACGACGGGACGAGAAAGACGAAGAAUCACGAACCAUGAAGCAGGUGGUGAAGAUGCUGGUGGCGGUCGUGGUGCUGUUCGCCAUUUGUUGGGCCCCGAUGCUUGUUGACAAUGUGCUGACCGCUUACGGCUUCCUGCCGCGCAUCAAGGGUGGAAUGCACAAGCAUCUCAAUACCGCGUUCCAGCUGAUGGCCUAUUUUAACAGCUGUAUAAACCCGAUAGUUUACGGGUUUAUGUCGAAGCACUUCAGGGAGAACUUCCUGUCGGCCGCCUGCGGCGGAUGGUGGAUUUGCUGCCCCAGAAGAGGCUACCGGGCGUCAGUAACGAGGAAUCCAAGUCUCAGCCAGACCAGGACCACCAGCGUGAGGUGGAUCCGAAACUCCUUCGGGGAGUCAAAGUCCCGAAACUCGAGCGGCCCGCACCCGUGACACGCUCGCAAGUCCCCGGUAAGCGGGCGUGCCCCCUGGCAGCGAGAGACCCCCCGAAAGUCCAUGUGCAUGUGCGACGAAUGUCCGGCUAGGGUAGACGAAUGGAAGCACGAAUUCGAUCGAGAUGGACCUGAUUCUUCCUUCAUCCCCGGACCAGGCCGUCAAGGGAGGUCUCCGUCAGAUAGGACACUUCCGACAGUGUGACGUGAAUAAAGUCGGGAGAGAACGCGAUUACGGGACGCGGCGUAGAUGAGAUACGGCACACACCGAUCAUUCGGCCACCUAUAAUACGAACGGCUGUUUCGAGCAGCCGAUCGAACGCAAAAGUAAACUUUCGUGAACUGACUAGUGGGUUGAGACCGAUCCCGCUGGGCGAUCUCCCAUCUGUAGGUAACGUAAGUUGCCGAACAGGCUCAUCAUCUAUUUAUCACCUUCCCCCCCGUCGCACCUUGUAACGACAGCGUUAUCGCUCACUCGUCCCCCCUCCCCCCUCUCGUGGGCGGGAUAAUUGGACGGGUUGAUUAAUUGGACAUUCGGACAAUUGGAAGUUUAACGGUACAGUUAAAGCCACGCUAGGUGGGCGGAUAAGGGUCAAGCGAGUGGGCACCCACAGUGGCCACAUACAGUGUAAUGGGGCCAUAAAUACACGCCGUAUGAGCUUGAAAUCGCCCGAUUUAGAAAUCCCGCCGAUAUCUCGUCGAGAUAGACGAGCUGAAGUUAGGUGCGCUCGGUGCAGGGCCAUUAAAAGGGACGCUCGCUCGAAAAGUUUUCCCCCGGUGUCGAUAUGUUUAAUGUUAAAUCUCGAAAUGUUGACAUACGUGUCUCCCUUUAAUUCACAAGAGAACUGCAGUUCCAAGAAUAAUGUAAGAAUGAUGUAGGAAGUAUGAGAACAAAAUACUCGCCCGCCGUUUCGUUCGGCGGCGCUAUAUAUACAGAUGCUCUGUCCCGAUCUCAAGAGAAUUCGUUCUCCUCUCCUCUCCGUGUAUAACAUUCGCUACCUCAGCAAUAUACUUGAGACUGGACAGUGCACGUUCAAGUCGCGCUCGAAACGCUAUCGAUCUGAUUCUCUUCCCAGUAUUUGCGCUAAAUAAGAACGUUUUCGCGUUGAAACCAAAGAAAAUGUAGAAACUUACAAUGGCUAUAUUUGUCGGUAAACACACCGCAUCGCGGAAGUACGGACCAAAGUGCGCCGAUUUCGUAGAGAAGUUCGUUUCGACGAACGCUCCGCAAAUGUUUCGGAGAUACGGUUCCAAGAAAAGACGCGAUAAACAAUUAGGCAAUUCCUCAGGAAACGACGUUUGCGCCGGGGCGAGUAUUUCUCACGGCGAGUUUUCUGCGGUGAGGGAUAUGUAUAAUGAAAUUAAGCUAUACCAGAUGUUCAGAUGUCACACUUGUGUAUUUGUAACUUUCUUGACGUCACAAACAAUUAGAUCUGAAGCCAUGGCGACGACGAUUUCUUUGAGUAUUCGGGAACGAGUAUGGCAUAUCAUUUGAGACUCCGAGCCAUGUGCUGGAAACGUAAUCUCAUUAUAAUUGUAACUAGAUAGUUAGCUUAUUUAUCAGCUAUGCUGGCAGAGCAAACUUUAGAUGAGUAAUCUCGGUUUGUUACUCAGGAGGAUAUUGCAUUUUCUCUUCUUUUUUUUUCGCGCUCUCACCUUUCUCGAUCUAAUUAAAAUGUUAUAAGGCUAUGAUUCUAUCUAUUAUUAUUAAUAAUAUCUAUUAUUAUUGACACAGUAAUAUUAGUGGUAAAACAAUAAUGUAAUAAUACAGGCUAGUGUAUUAAAAGACUUUUUAAUGUACAACUCUAACUGUAAGCGGGACCCAUCCCGGCGGUGAACGCAGGCGGGCUUUCCGAUAAGUAUAAGUCACUUUGUUUAAAAGAAAAAAACUGGGGAAACCAAGUCGCUAUUAAAUGUAUAUAAGAUACGUAAAUAAGUAAAUGAAUAUUAUUUAGCUGCUUUAGAGUUGACGAACGUGACAUCACGCGAUUUUAGCGAUUCUGUGCUUGUCGAUGAAGUAAACGUUAAGUGCCAUAAGGAUGUAAAAGUUUUGAGUCGAUAUGAAAAAGAAAAGAAUGAAAGAUAUUAAACGCGCGAUUAGUCUACGACAUUUAUAGUAUAAUGUCGUAUGGUAUAAAAUUAGCAUCAUUUGCAUAGUGUGUACCAGCUUCCGUCGUUCUGUGUGUUUGAAUAAAAGAAUGAGAAUCACAAAUAAGUACGUAUGUUAUAGAUAGAUAUUGGUAAGAAAGCUUUGAAAUAAUUAUAUUACAUACCAAAGUACAACUUUUGGGCAUUGAAAUUUUUUCGACAUUAUUCAAAGGAUUCAAUUAAUAUCGCAUAUAAUUUCCAUUAUACUGUCGUCCUCCUUUCGUUAAACGCAUGUAGCAAAGACUCUUUUUCUAUCGAAUCGUUUUAACAGACUGAAUCAACAGCGUAGAGGUAGUUUAAUUGUCGGAACCAUCGAAGAAUAACGGUAUUAAAUGGCAACUUUAGCUAUUAAGAUACUUGCUGUAUUUGAUGUAUUAUCAGUAACGAUAAUGAUAUAAUGACCAGUCUACCGACGAACUGUAAUGAGAUAUGUAAAGCCAUCCUUUCAUCUGCCAAAGAUUACAAUUAAUCGCAAGAUUGAUAUCUAUAAUUUAACUAUUAUAACUACAUAUUUAGUUGCAGGAAAAUUCAAUUUAAAGCUUAAAAGAAAUCAAAGGAGAAUAAAUUUUACUGCAAUAUAAUUUUAUUUUAA